This 406-nucleotide ribosomal RNA is filed under the name uncultured bacterium. RNAcentral's name for it is "partial 16S ribosomal RNA". It matches the Rfam family "Bacterial small subunit ribosomal RNA", at positions 29 to 526 of the family's 1533-position model. The record is from RNAcentral.
AUUGAACGCUGGCGGCAGGCCUAACACAUGCAAGUCGAACGAGUGGCGGACGGGUGAGUAAUGUCUGGGAAACUGCCUGAUGGCGGGGGAUAAAUACUGGAAACGGUAGCUAAUACCGCAUACCAUCAGAUGUGCCCAGAGUGGAUUAGGUUGGUGGUGGGGUAACGGGGCACCAAGGCGACGAUCCCGAGCUGGGCUGAGAGGAUGACCGGCUACCUGGGAACUGAGACACGGGCCAGACGCCUACGGGAGUCAGCAGUGGGGAAUAUUGCAAAAUGGGCCCAAGCCUGAUGCAGCCAUGCCGCGGGGAUGAAGAAGGCCUUCGGGUUGUAAAGUACUUUCAGCGGGGAGGCGGUACCCGCAGAAGAAGCACCGGCUAACUCCGUGCCAGCAGCCGCGGUAAUUC